RNAcentral lists this ribosomal RNA (497 nucleotides) under uncultured bacterium. Its description in RNAcentral is "partial 16S ribosomal RNA". It matches the Rfam family "Bacterial small subunit ribosomal RNA", at positions 28 to 507 of the family's 1533-position model. The record is from RNAcentral.
GAUGAACGCUGGCGGCGUGCCUAAUACAUGCAAGUCGAGCGAACAGAUGAGGAGCUUGCUCCUCUGACGUUAGCGGCGGACGGGUGAGUAACACGUGGAUAACCUACCUAUAAGACUGGGAUAACUUCGGGAAACCGGAGCUAAUACCGGAUAAUAUAUUGAACCGCAUGGUUCAAUAGUGAAAGACGGUUUUGCUGUCACUUAUAGAUGGAUCCGCGCCGCAUUAGCUAGUUGGUAAGGUAACGGCUUACCAAGGCAACGAUGCGUAGCCGACCUGAGAGGAUGAUCGGCCACACUGGAACUGAGACACGGUACAGACUCCGACGGGAGGCAGCAGUAGGGAAUCUUCCGCAAUGGGCGAAAGCCUGACGGAGCAACGCCGCGUGAGUGAUGAAGGUCUUCGGAUCGUAAAGCUCUGUUAUUAGGGAAGAACAAAUGUGUAAGUAACUAUGAACGUCUUGACGGUACCUAAUCAGAAAGCCACGGCUAACUACGUG